Molecule: non-coding RNA, 160 nt
Organism: Cajanus cajan (pigeon pea)
Lineage: Eukaryota; Viridiplantae; Streptophyta; Magnoliopsida; Fabales; Fabaceae
Source: Rfam
AUACUUACCUGGAUGGGGUCAAUGGAUGAUCAAAAAGGUCCAUGGCCUAGAUCAAUGACCUUCAUUGCACUUGGGAGGGUUACUGCUUUAAGGUCUGUCCAAGUGACAGAACCUACAUCAUAAUUUGUGGAAGUCGGAGUCUGUGUUGGCGCAACUCUUG